Molecule: ribosomal RNA, 326 nt
Filed under: uncultured eukaryote
Lineage: Eukaryota
Description: partial 18S ribosomal RNA
Rfam family: Eukaryotic small subunit ribosomal RNA
Source: RNAcentral
CCCUUAGAUGUCCUGGGCCGCACGCGCGCUACACUGAUGCAUUCAACGAGUUCUACCUUGGCCGAGAGGCCUGGGCAAUCUUUUGAACCUGCAUCGUGAUAGGGAUAGAUUAUUGCAAUUAUUAAUCUUGAACGAGGAAUUCCUAGUAAACGCAGAUCAUCAAUCUGCAUUGAUUACGUCCCUGCCCUUUGUACACACCGCCCGUCGCACCUACCGAUUGGAUGGUCCGGUGAAGCCUCGGGAUUGUGGUUCUUGCCGCUUUAUUGUGGCGUGACCGCGAGAACUUGUCUAAACCUUAUCAUCUAGAGGAAGGUGAAGUCGUAACA